This is a long non-coding RNA of Chinchilla lanigera (long-tailed chinchilla), 258 nucleotides long. RefSeq lists it as uncharacterized. Lineage: Eukaryota; Metazoa; Chordata; Mammalia; Rodentia; Chinchillidae. The record is from RefSeq and is a predicted model, not a curated record. The transcript is spliced from 3 exons.
GCUUUCUUUGUACAAUGUGUUCCUUGGCAGUGGCUCUAUUACAGAGUUCACAGAAGGGAUUUACAAAUCAAUAAUAUCUCUGGAGAGUGGAAUAUGAUAAAUUAGAAAAUAAAGGAAAGACUUCUGGAACCCUUGCAAACACAAGAAACUGUGAAGCACCAUUACCUGUAUGUGAUCAAAAGAAUAAGUGGGACACAGAAGAAAGAACUUUCUGCAGAAAAAGAAAAUUGUAGGAAUCUUCUUUAUCUUUUUUGUUGU